UACAGAGGGUGCAAGCGUUAAUCGGAAUUACUGGGCGUAAAGGGUGUGUAGGUGGCUAAGUAAGUUAGGUGUGAAAUACCCGGGCUUAACCUGGGAAUUGCGCUUAAUACUGCCUAGCUAGAGUAUUGUAGAGGUUAGUGGAAUUUCCGGUGUAGCGGUGAAAUGCGUAGAUAUCGGAAGGAACAUCAGUGGCGAAGGCGACUAACUGGACAAAUACUGACACUGAAACACGAAAGCGUGGGGAGCAAACAGG
RNAcentral lists this ribosomal RNA (253 nucleotides) under uncultured bacterium. Its description in RNAcentral is "partial 16S ribosomal RNA". It matches the Rfam family "Bacterial small subunit ribosomal RNA", at positions 524 to 776 of the family's 1533-position model. The record is from RNAcentral.